GAACAGAUGCUAAUACCGGAUAACAACAGAUGAUGCCUAUCAACUGUUUAAAAGAUGGUUCUGCUAUCACUCUUGGAUGGACCUGCGGUGCAUUAGCUAGUUGGUAGGGUAACGGCCUACCAAGGCGAUGAUGCAUAGCCGAGUUGAGAGACUGAUCGGCCACAUUGGGACUGAGACACGGCCCAAACUCCUACCGGGAGGCAGCAGCG
Molecule: ribosomal RNA, 209 nt
Filed under: uncultured Lactobacillus sp.
Lineage: Bacteria; Bacillati; Bacillota; Bacilli; Lactobacillales; Lactobacillaceae
Description: partial 16S ribosomal RNA
Rfam family: Bacterial small subunit ribosomal RNA
Source: RNAcentral